GCUCAAAUGCAGUCAGGGGGGGUAGCAAUACAUCACCGGCGGACGGGUGCGUAACGCGCCCCUAAAAAAGCCACCGACCCGGAACAACUGAGGGAAACUUCACCUUAAGAGGGAAGACGUCCCAACGGAGAAAGAUUGAUCGCCGAUAGAGCAGCCCGCGGCCGACUAACGAGGAGGAGGGGAAACGGGCCACCAAGGCGAGCAGGAGAGCGGAACGGAGACGAAGAGGCAGCCACCCGGGCACAGGAGACAACCCCCAGAGCCGGGCCGGAGACAGCGACACAGAAACCCCGGGCAGGCGGGGAAGGGGAAAAACGGAGAAGGGGGGCGAGCAAGAAAGGCCGACGCCGCGCACGAGCGAAAAGCGGCGAGGGGGCACAGGCAGAAGAGCGAGGAGGAAAGGCGGAGAGACAACAACCCGAGCGGACGCGGCCGAACC
RNAcentral lists this ribosomal RNA (439 nucleotides) under uncultured bacterium. RNAcentral describes it as "partial 16S ribosomal RNA". The record is from RNAcentral.